RNAcentral lists this ribosomal RNA (534 nucleotides) under uncultured bacterium. RNAcentral describes it as "partial 16S ribosomal RNA". It matches the Rfam family "Bacterial small subunit ribosomal RNA", at positions 28 to 523 of the family's 1533-position model. The record is from RNAcentral.
GAUUAACGCUGGCGGCGUGCCUAACACAUGCAAGUCGAACGGACCUUUAAUGUUGAGAAUUCCGAUCCUUCGGGCGUCUCAAUAUUAAUGGUUAGUGGCGGACGGGUGAGUAACACGUAAGGAACCUGCCUCAAGGAUUGGGAUAACUCCGAGAAAUCGGAGCUAAUACCGGAUAGUUCAACGGACCGCAUGGUCCGCUGAUGAAAGGCGCUCCGGCGUCACCUUGAGAUGGCCUUGCGGUGCAUUAGCUAGUUGGUGGGGUAACGGCCCACCAAGGCGACGAUGCAUAGCCGACCUGAGAGGGUGAUCGGCCACACUGGGACUGAGACACGGCCCAGACUCCUACGGGAGGCAGCAGUAGGGAAUCUUCCACAAUGGACGAAAGUCUGAUGGAGCAACGCCGCGUGAGUGAUGAAGGUUUUCGGAUCAUAAAACUCUGUUGUAAGGGAAGAACACGUACGAGAGGAAAUGCUCGUACCUUGACGGUACCUUACGAGAAAGCCACGGCUAACUACGUGCCAGCAGCCGCCGUAA